GGCAGGUGUGGUCCUGCAGUGGUUGCUCAUCAGGACAAAUGAGAAGAAGGUCAAAAGGAGCAGUAAACCUAGGAAGAAAUGCCAUAUGUUAGCUUUUCAGAGUGAAAUAACCUCCGAAGACUACAACUGCUCCACCACACGCUUCUUCCUGGAAACAGGAAGGAGACGUUCUACACCAACAAGGCACCAAAUACCAUUGCCUGUCAACUGCAGAUUCUGUGAUUUGCUCACCUCUCCCACAAAACAGCAGGUCUGAAUACCCUCCUCAGCCAGAGGUACAUCAGCCUCUCGUCCUGCAGCUGCCUCAAGUGACCUCCACCUCAAAGAUCAACAUCAACAAGGCUGCAAGUCUACGCAAGGUCUCUCCAUGGUUGCUGCCUGACUGAAGUCAUUCACCAUUACCUGCCUCAAUGAUCACCACCAUGUUGCUCUGACCUCACAAAUCAUGAAGUGUUUCGAGAGGAUCUUCCUGAAGUACA
Molecule: long non-coding RNA, 479 nt
Organism: Fundulus heteroclitus (mummichog)
Lineage: Eukaryota; Metazoa; Chordata; Actinopteri; Cyprinodontiformes; Fundulidae
Exons: 4
Source: RefSeq, a predicted model, not a curated record